UAGGGAAUCUUCGGCAAUGGACGAAAGUCUGACCGAGCAACGCCGCGUGAGUGAAGAAGGUUUUCGGAUCGUAAAACUCUGUUGUUAGAGAAGAACAAGGACGUUAGUAACUGAACGUCCCCUGACGGUAUCUAACCAGAAAGCCACGGCUAACUACGUGCCAGCAGCCGCGGUAAUACGUAGGUGGCAAGCGUUGUCCGGAUUUAUUGGGCGUAAAGGGAGCGCAGGCGGUUUCUUAAGUCUGAUGUGAAAGCCCCCGGCUCAACCGGGGAGGGUCAUUGGAAACUGGGAGACUUGAGUGCAGAAGAGGAGAGUGGAAUUCCAUGUGUAGCGGUGAAAUGCGUAGAUAUAUGGAGGAACACCAGUGGCGAAGGCGGCUCUCUGGUCUGUAACUGACGCUGAGGCUCGAAAGCGUGGGGAGCAAACAGG
This 429-nucleotide ribosomal RNA is filed under the name Gemmatimonadota bacterium. Its description in RNAcentral is "Gemmatimonadetes bacterium partial 16S ribosomal RNA". It matches the Rfam family "Bacterial small subunit ribosomal RNA", at positions 355 to 776 of the family's 1533-position model. Lineage: Bacteria; Pseudomonadati; Gemmatimonadota. The record is from RNAcentral.